Molecule: unclassified non-coding RNA, 848 nt
Filed under: Hevea brasiliensis (rubber tree)
Lineage: Eukaryota; Viridiplantae; Streptophyta; Magnoliopsida; Malpighiales; Euphorbiaceae
Source: RNAcentral
UACGGCAUUUGCAAUAUUACAGCUGAAUCCCAGAUCAAGAAUGAAGCUUUCUUGGCCAAUCGCGCUUUUCUACACAUUUCUUUGCUUUUUCGCAUCUGGGUCAUUUUCUUCUAUUGAGAAUUUUCAUCAACCGUUUCCUAUUAUAGAGCCUGAUCCAGGUCACACAAAACUUCGCCUUUCAAGAGAAGGAUUGGAGGCAAUUGAGAAGAUAACUACACCCAUUGCAGCUGUUGCUGUAAUUGGUCCAUAUCGUUCGGGAAAAUCAUUUACUCUCAAUCAGCUCCUUUCCCUGUCUUGUGAUGAAGGUUUUGGUGUUGGUCAUAUGCGUGAUACAAAGACAAAAGGUAUAUGGGUUUGGGGUACUCCAGUAGAGAUGGAUAUCAAUGGAGUAAAAACUUCUGUUUUUUACCUUGACACAGAAGGUUUUGAAAGCAUUGGAAAAUCUAAUGUAUACGAUGACCGGAUUUUUGCCCUUGCAGCUGUUAUGAGUUCUGUGCUUAUAUAUAAUCUCCCUGAGACGAUACGUGAAGCUGAUAUAUCCCGGCUGUCAUUCGCAGUUGAACUUGCGGAGGAGUUCUAUGGAAGAGUAAAGGGGCAAGAUGUUGCGUUUGAACCUGCAAAGCUACUAUGGCUCAUCCAACGUGAUUUUCUGCAAGGAAAAUCUGUGCAAGAAAUGGUUGAUGAAGCUCUAAGACGUGUCCCUAAUAGCAACGGUGAUAAAAAUAUUGAUCAGGUGAAUCAGAUUCGAGAUUCUUUAGCCAUAAUGGGUGAUAAUAGCACAGCGUUCAGCUUACCACAACCCCAUCUUCAGCGCACAAAGCUUUGUGACAUGAAGGACGCUGAGCUUG